UUGGGACAUUCCCUUUCCGGUUGAUAUAGAUUGUAAAUUUGUUUUGGGACCUGUUAAUUUGUUUCAGCGUUUGUAAAAGUGUUUCACAUCUUGUUAAUUUGUUUUCUAAAAUGUAAUUUUGUUUUGGAACUUAAAUGUAAAUUUCUUUUGGAACUUGUAAAUGUGUUAUGGUAAUGUAAUUUUGUAUUAUGAUAUGUAAAAUUGUUUUUUUAAAAUGUAAAUUUGUCUCAAGCUUUGUAAAAGUGUUUCAGAAUUUGUAAUGUUGGUUUGCACCUCCAGGCCACCAUUUUCUCUGUGAAU
Thalassophryne amazonica is the source of this 300-nucleotide long non-coding RNA. RefSeq lists it as uncharacterized. NCBI's taxonomy places the organism in Eukaryota, Metazoa, Chordata, Actinopteri, Batrachoidiformes, Batrachoididae. The record is from RefSeq and is a predicted model, not a curated record. The transcript is spliced from 3 exons.